GAUGAAGAACGUAGCGAAAUGCGAUAAGUAAUGUGAAUUGCAGAAUUCAGUGAAUCAUCGAAUCUUUGAACGCACCUUGCGCUCCUUGGUAUUCCGAGGAGCAUGCCUGUUUGAGUGUCAUUAAUAUAUCAACCUUCUCUUUUUUGAGUUGUUUGGAUGUGGGGGUUUGCUGGCCUCUUAUAUGAUUCAGCUCCCCUGAAAUGCAUUAGCAGAACAACCUGUUCAUUAGCGUGAUAAUUAUCUAUGCUAUUGAAUGUGAGGGCAGUUCAGCUUUCUAACCGUCCUUGGACAAUUCAUCAUUAAUGUGACCUCAAAUCAGGUAGGACUACCCGCUGAACUUAAGCAUAUCAAUAAGCGGAGGA
This 362-nucleotide unclassified non-coding RNA is filed under the name soil metagenome. RNAcentral describes it as "partial contains 5.8S ribosomal RNA, internal transcribed spacer 2, and large subunit ribosomal RNA". The stretch from base 1 to 120 matches the Rfam family "5.8S ribosomal RNA", at positions 35 to 154 of the family's 154-position model. The record is from RNAcentral.